RNAcentral lists this non-coding RNA (25 nucleotides) under Rattus norvegicus (Norway rat). The record is from RNAcentral. Lineage: Eukaryota; Metazoa; Chordata; Mammalia; Rodentia; Muridae.
UAGGCUACUUUGCAUCGAUGUGGCA